AGGAUAAUAGUUUUAAACAACAUUUAAUUUGCAAUUAAAAAAUAUUGAAUCAAUCAAUUUAUCUUA
RNAcentral lists this transfer RNA (66 nucleotides) under Rhagophthalmus lufengensis. Its description in RNAcentral is "tRNA-Ala". The record is from RNAcentral. Lineage: Eukaryota; Metazoa; Arthropoda; Insecta; Coleoptera; Rhagophthalmidae.